RNAcentral lists this long non-coding RNA (4785 nucleotides) under Varroa destructor (honeybee mite). RNAcentral's name for it is "uncharacterized LOC111249697". Lineage: Eukaryota; Metazoa; Arthropoda; Arachnida; Mesostigmata; Varroidae. The record is from RNAcentral.
GUCCCGCCAAACUGUUUAUAUUCAGUACUCACCUUGAAAGACAGUGCCUACGAAAACCGAACUGGAACAUUUGUUUACUGGGGAACUGUACAUAGGUCCAGCAAUACCAACUUCGAUCCCAUUAAUCGAACCAGACCCCCUGUUUCUAUAUUCAAGAGCUGAUGGAUUCGUCAAGCUUCACGUUCUCCAAGCGCAGCUUUACACUCGAACAGAGUGGAUUAACGCUUUGACCGGCGCGCAGCAGGCGUCAGGGCGCAGCCACAUUGAAUGCGAUUGAAGCAGGGAUCACCGAACUCCAAGCUCUAAUAGCCCGUUAAAGACAUCAUUCGUAACUAUUUCGGCUACAUGGGAAUAACUCAGGACCAAACCAUUCAAGAAAUUUUAACGGAGAGCGAUAUCAUGCCCGUACUGUGGUUACACAAGACAGACAAAAAGGCCUCUAUACAUUCGUCUAAAGAAAUAUGCUACGUUUGCAACCACUUCAUUUCGGGCGCCUCCGCCUGUACUGGGACUUCGAGAUACCGGAUGAGAGUGGAACGAACGAAAGUGAAUUAGUGAUGGAGACAAACCUGUUGAAACGAGACUGACGUGCCGAGGUAACAUCAGACUUGGCAAAGGAGCUUUAUUAGCGUGCUAUAACGAGGCCACUGACGCCUCCAUACCUAUACGACGGCUAGCACACCCAGAUAUCUAGUUUAGGCACCAUCAGCAAUAUGGUUAACAACGUUUUAACGAAAUUUUCUUAACAACAAGCUCGUGAAGGAGUUCUUUGUGGAUGCUCUAAUUUAUACUAAUAUAUCACUCCAGGCAGUUGUGUGUGUGUCUAAAUGGCACAUUCAUGGACUGUUUUAUUCAAAGCUGUUCGUUAGAGGGCACCUAUGUAUCCUGGCAUAGCGAAGUACGCACGAAUGUCGGUGCUUGUGACAAGUGGUACUCACAGACUCGGGCAAUUGCCCUGUCAAAGCAAUCGACUAUAUAUGAAGUUUACCGAGGUAAUACCGGCUUUGAGAGGGAAAGUUUUUUCUCCUGGCUUCAACUUACUCAUGUGAGGGGUGUCUCAUGGUCGCCUCGUGCUUCCUCUGACGGCCAGUGUAGCCAACCUCUUGGCCAACCUGACAGACAUACCUACCGAUUAAUGACGAGACUCAAGCCACACUGCACAAGGGUACCAUCGAACCACCAUGUAGUCACUAGUACUGCUUUCAAAUUCUCCUAAAGAAAUAGAAUGGAAAAUGCUUUUCUGCGGUGAUUACUGCAACCUGAAUGCUACUACUAUGAAGCGGGAUAUGUAUUUGCUGCGGUCUACUUCAGGGCACUGAUUUUGAUUGAUGGAAUUAGCAAACUACCAUGUAUUUCGACGACGAAAAGAAAACGGCGUGUUGCGCCUUGAGAGGAUCUGAGUAAACUGGCUAGCCGCCGUCAUCUACUGCAAUGGCCAUGUAGCUGAAAAAUUCCCGGUUUCGCCUACGUUUACAGGCGCUUCAGGUAGGUUUCUCGAACUGCCAACUCGUUUUAUGCUUCUGUUAACACUUGACAAACCGGAUUAGGCAGCGCUGUCUCAGGUGAAAAAAACUAAUUAAGAGUAAUAGUGUGCUCCAUUGAGAAUUUCGCACAUAUUUAGAUGUGUGUCACUUCAAUACAGCGAGCAAGAGGAUUAUAUCGAAAGAUGUGAAGAAGUUGACUUACAGAGCCUUGACCUUCCAGAAGAAUACUUUCACUAUCUAGGAUGUAAAAAUCCUGUGCACGGACGGAACAUCUAUGUAGAACGACAUCAUUAAAGGAGACUGUUUAUAAAAAUGAGUAAACCUGUUGGAACAGAAGGAAAUCACGUCGCCUUGGAGCAUAUGUAUAUCUACUAUCUGGGGGACGACUAGCUAUCGCUAGCGACUGUAAUGUCUUUGGCGUUUUUUUUAGACGUUUUUUUAUAUGUUUUAGUUUGUUCAGUCGCUUUUUAUGGCGCAGAAUUGGUGUGAUAUUUUAGCUUAAAUUAUAAGAGUAGCUGAAAUUUCCUAUUCGAGUUCGUAGUCAAAAAUCGCUAUGUUCAAAAUGGUUCAUUUUUUUUUUAAGAAUCACUCGCCCCCUGCGUCGACGAUAUGCGUUUGUUGUUUAAGCGUAACAUGCUGCUAAUUGUCUGAUGGACAUAUUUACAAAUUAUGAACACCGCGUUCGGUUAGCAUGCAGGUAUUAUUACUUGUUUUCUAUUCUUCCAUGGAAUUUUGUGACUGUACAAAAAUUAUGUUGUAAGAAACGAUUUGGUAUUUGUAUCGUUGUACAUGAACAUCAUAUACGGGACUAUAAUAAUAAUAUUACAUUACUUUAGAAAAACAAGGACAUUUCGCGCCUUCCUUGUAUUGUAUUCGCUUGUUUUUUAGCGUUCAGUUUAAGUUUUUCUGCUCAAGUGAUUACAAGCUACCUCAAAAGCCACACUCAUUUAUUUUCGCUUAUUUGUAAGUUUCUAUCUCUUCGAAUUUUAUUACGUCGACACUGUAGAUUAAUUAGAAUGGGCACCUUGGCAUCGUCCUGUGGUUCCAAUACUGCUUUGUUCAAUUCAAGUUAUGACAUUAUACCAAUAGAUUUACAUACAUAUUUAGUUGAUAGUUUUCGAACUAGAAAAGCGUAAACAACUUGUAGCCGCACCACUAGUUGCAGCAUUCUAAUUAUUGGCAUUAAAAUGUUUGCCUCUUUGUACCAUAGAUGGCGCCACCGGUCACAAGUGGAAUCUGGUUGUGUGAUCAUAUCUUACUAUAGGAAUUAGGUCUUCAAAAUUAAGUACAGCUGAUUAUCGUAAUUAAUCGUUAAACCUGCAAACGUGCACAUAAUAAACCACACUGUUGAGCUCUAUCUACAGUUUAAAUUUGGUCAUUAUUGUAUUCGACUUUUCUCAAACAAAGAUUGCAACGACAGCUUGCACAUAAUUAUAAAGAUUGUCCCGACUGUAAUAAAAGCAAUGAAAGGACAUAUAAGACUCAUUUGAAAAAUGUGAACAUUAAUAAAGCACUGGCUUACAUAGCGCACUAACAUCCAAGACAUUAGAGUGGCCCGUCUUCCGCAUGACUAUACAACAUACCUUUAUCGAAAGCUUAGUUAGGGGUCGCUUUUAGCCUCCGAAUGACAUAUAGAAAAACUCUUAUCGAAUGUGUUUGUGAACGGUUCGUCUGAACAACUCUUGAACAAGGGAAGAGUAAUUAAGUUGUAGAUUCGGAUUUACCUUUUAUGCCUAUUGUCUUCAGAUUUUUUAAGUCUUAACUCACAACACUGGGUAAAACGCAGAAUCAUACACGCUUAAAGGUACGCAUAUGCUAACAGAAUUGUAUCAACAAAAGAUUGCACCAAAUAUAAACAACGAAGGUUUGCCAAACUUGUCUUAACCCCCCAAAAAACAAUCUUAUUGGACCAUUAUAUUUUGUGACUACUUAGAUUGAAAAAACGUCGUCCACAAUAGGCGGCUUCUGUAAUAAUUAACAAGUAAGCGCGCAAUGUUUGCCCAGCAUCAUCAAAGCAAUCAAUUUUAUGAUGAUGAUUAUGACGGCUUGAAUAACUAAGUGUAACUACAGGCUACUAAGUUUAGAAAGGAACCUUGCCCGAAAAGCUUGCGUCGGCAUCUCACCUUAAAAACUGCGAUGCUGGUUUAGUCCUCACACUUGCAAUGUUACACAUAAGCGAGGACGGAAUGAUUUUCUUAAGAGAAAUAUUAGAAUUGUAUAUAUAUAUACAUAAGUGAAAUUUAAGUGCGGAACAACAGCUUGUCCAAUGACACUUCGUCACAAAGAACUUUUCAUGGCUGGAUGCGCAGACUGUAAAUAAUUUGGAGCUAUCAUGUUUAAGAUCUUCAGUUCUUUCCAGUAUAGGACCCGUUGUUCCGUCAAAGACUUGUCCUUGAGAAGCGUCUAUCACCGGUCCAGGAAGUUAUUCGUAGGCGCAAAUAUCGGAUAAUGUGGACCGCUUACCUAACCAUGUUUGAUCCUUCUUUUUAAUCAUCCCUAUGAAAACAUAUACCGAAUUUAUACAGGUAAACACCAACUGCAAUAUAAUAAUCAGGUGUAUACUAAAGGAAAUAAACUGAUUUAUUUAACUGAUUUAUUAUUUGAACAAUUUAGCGGUGCACGGAUAGAUUAUGGUCAUACAAACGAACAAAUCUUCUACCCACAAGUAAUUCUAUAUGUUUUACUAUAAUAUUGCAAUUGAAAUAAAAGGUAGAGCGGGCAGAUCUGUUGUUCCUCAAGGAUUCUCACUUUUCAUCCUUAGACAACCUCGACCUAUUUACCCAUAGGCGUGCAUGAAUUUCCUAUAGGAAUCCCAAAACCACACUUUUUCCGACCACUUUUUAUGUGAAUUACACGACCUAAGAAUUAAAUGACUACUGAGCUGAGAUUAAGUUCUUCUAAAAGUCAAGGCUACUCAAUUGGCAAUUCAACUAUCUUCAAUCGGAAACCGGCAUUUUUAAGUUUACCGUAGCAUUCAAUCCUAGUAGCUGAGCAUCAACGUCGCCGUUUCGUUGCUUCCGCACUUUGCCUUUGAUGGUUAUGCAUGAGCAGAUGACCUUGGUUAAUGCAUUUGGGUCUCUUGUUGGCUUUCAAAUCGUCGUGUCGCAGAAAACCCGCCUUACAAUCAACCAUUUCAACAGCUCGAUGACUGUUCUACCUCACUGAGGAAGGUGGGUCAGUGGUUUCGCUUUUGUUGGAACGCGGAAGAAAAUGCCGCUGGCUUUGCCGGAAGUGCUCCGUUCUGCACCCAAACAGGCGAUUGAUCGACACUUUCGGGCCUCAUCCUGCCUCGAAGGAACUU